Molecule: transfer RNA, 94 nt
Filed under: Caudoviricetes sp.
Lineage: Duplodnaviria; Heunggongvirae; Uroviricota; Caudoviricetes
Description: tRNA-Ser
Rfam family: tRNA
About the family: Transfer RNA (tRNA) molecules are approximately 80 nucleotides in length. Their secondary structure includes four short double-helical elements and three loops (D, anti-codon, and T loops).
Source: RNAcentral
GGAAAUAUAAGCCUAAUAGGUAAGGCAGCAGUUUGCUAAACUGCCAGUAGUCGAGGUAAAACUUGGCGUGUUGGUUCGAAUCCAACUAUUUCCG